Small nucleolar RNA from Monodelphis domestica (gray short-tailed opossum), 61 nucleotides. NCBI's taxonomy places the organism in Eukaryota, Metazoa, Chordata, Mammalia, Didelphimorphia, Didelphidae. The record is from Ensembl.
AGCCUAUGAUGUCCUAAGAGUAGUGGACAGAAAUGAUUUCUGACAAUAAUAUACUGAGGCU